CAACGAACCAGCUUGCUGGUUCGUUGCCGAGCGGCGGACGGGUGAGUAACGCGUGGGCAAUCUGCCCUCUAGCCUGGGAUAACAGUUCGAAAGGACUGCUAACACCGGAUAUGCUCACACCCUGGCAUCAGGGAGUGAGAAAAGUUUACACUAGAGGAUGAGCCCGCGUCCCAUUAGCUAGUUGGUUUUUCACGGCCCACCAGAAAACGAUGGGUAGCCGACCUGAGAGGGUAUCGGCCACAUCGUCCGCGACACAGAACNACUCCUACUGAGUCAG
Molecule: unclassified non-coding RNA, 277 nt
Filed under: uncultured bacterium
Lineage: Bacteria
Description: partial contains 16S ribosomal RNA and 16S-23S ribosomal RNA intergenic spacer region
Rfam family: Bacterial small subunit ribosomal RNA
Source: RNAcentral